UGUGCGCGAGUCAUUGGGUGUAAAACCUAAAGGCGCAAUGAAAGUGUCAGGGGUGCCUCCUUUAGGAGCGCUCCCCUUUGGGAGGAUGGGCCGCCGCGCCAGCAAUGGCCGGAGCCCCGCACUCCCGGGGCGUCUCUUUCUCAUUGCGAGUGGAGACGCACCAGGAGCGCACACGCUGGUACCCGAAAGAUGGUGAACUAUGCCUGGCCAGGACGAAGCCAGGGGAAACCCUGGUGGAGGUCCGAAGCGAUUCUGACGUGCAAAUCGAUCGUCUGAGCUGGGUAUAGGGGCGAAAGACCAAUCGAACCAUCUAGUAGCUGGUUCCCUCUGAAGUUUCCCUCAGGAUAGCUGGCUCUCGGGAAGAGACGAGUCUCAUCCGGUAGAGCGAAUGAUUAGAGGUGAUGGGGUCGAAACGACUUCAACCUAUUCUCAAACUCCCAAUAGAUGAGAGCCCCGGCUUGCUUAAAAGUGAAGCCGCGGGACUCGGAUCAGAGAUGCCAAGUGGGCCAAUUUU
Molecule: ribosomal RNA, 514 nt
Filed under: Peromatus notatus
Lineage: Eukaryota; Metazoa; Arthropoda; Insecta; Hemiptera; Pentatomidae
Description: partial large subunit ribosomal RNA
Rfam family: Eukaryotic large subunit ribosomal RNA
Source: RNAcentral